AGAUGGAAGACCUGUCUGAACGUAUUCUCAGAGAGAAAGUAGUGAUGAUAGAAAACAGCAUGUAUAAAGAGGGUAUUGUUCUCCACCCUGCCCAGCAAACCAUGCUGCCUGGUCUUUAACACCAAAGAAAGUGCUAAAAACAACCCCCAAGCCAAAUUAUCCCUCUCAUCCACCUGCUGAGAAAUCAACUGGAAAAAACUUGUAGAACUAUACAGGAAAUGCCUUUUUUUUUAAUGUACUGAGUCAGUCUGGCAAGUUGAUAUAAACAAACUAUACACGAGGACUACUUUGCUUUGUCAGUGAAAUGCAUCUGCAUCUGUGGGGAAACACAUCAGUGGCUGAACAGCACCAAGCCGCACUACACAACAUUUUGGGACAGCAAUAAUUUGAGGCAGGACAGGAACAGAAACUCAGACCAGAUUUUAGGGAAGAGAGCCAGGAAAUUCAGCAUGUAUUUGGAAGAGCCUGAGAGCUCAGAAAUAUUCAAUGAAACUUUCUGACUGCCACAAGAAAUGAAAAGCGGCUGCAUUCCCCUACGGUCAAAGUGUCCUAUUAAAGACUUCACAAGCAAGAUUGCUCUCCAGAAACAGAUUGGAAUACUUUUCUGCAGCUGUGAAAGUCUUAGAGGAGUCAUGGUCUCUCUAAUUAUAUGUCAUGUGUCAGAAGCAAAACAGAGAUAUUAGUGUCUAAGUGAAGACAACAUCACACUAAAUGGAGGACACUUUAAAGAUGGGAAUAUCCAGGAAAGUGGACACAUUCACUGGCAUCAAUUUAUUCUUGUGAUCUUCAAAAUUCUAUGAAACAGGAAGAUCAGACUCCGGCAUCUAUUGCUUAAAACCUCACCUCUACAGUUACACUGAAUCUAAGUCAGGAUCAUAAUAUAAUAACUGGAAUUGCUAUCCUCACCUGCUUGUAGAAAAUGAAGACAUGAAAAGAAUUCUCACUAAUUUAUAUUCCCAAGUGAAAUAUAAUAAUAUGGAAGAAAACAGCAAAUAUGGAUGGAUCCAUGUUGGCAAAAAAGCAAGCCUUCCUGAAGGAUAUGCAAUUUUCCUAGUGCCUGUGACCCUUUGGUUUGCACUCUCAAAAUCUUGCUUGUUUGGUGGUUUGAAUUUGCC
Long non-coding RNA from Mauremys reevesii (Reeves's turtle), 1115 nucleotides. RefSeq lists it as uncharacterized. Lineage: Eukaryota; Metazoa; Chordata; Testudines; Geoemydidae. The transcript has 6 exons. The record is from RefSeq and is a predicted model, not a curated record.